UACGUAGGGUGCGAGCGUUAAUCGGAAUUACUGGGCGUAAAGCGUGCGCAUGCGGCUUCGCAAGUCAGGCGUGAAAUCCCCGGGCUUAACCUGGGAAUGGCGUCUGAAACUACGGAGCUGGAGUGUGGCAGAGGGAGGUAGAAUUCCACGUGUAGCGGUGAAAUGCGUAGAUAUGUGGAGGAAUACCGAUGGCGAAGGCAGCCUCCGGGGCCAACGCUGACGCUCAUGCACGAAAGCGUGGGGAGCAAACAGG
Molecule: ribosomal RNA, 253 nt
Filed under: uncultured bacterium
Lineage: Bacteria
Description: partial 16S ribosomal RNA
Rfam family: Bacterial small subunit ribosomal RNA
Source: RNAcentral